GGACUCAUCAGACCUAGGGGUAUGAUUCUCGCUUCGGGUGCGGGAGGUCCUGGGUUCAAUUCCUGGACGAGCCCC
Molecule: non-coding RNA, 75 nt
Organism: Characodon lateralis
Lineage: Eukaryota; Metazoa; Chordata; Actinopteri; Cyprinodontiformes; Goodeidae
Source: the annotation of a GenBank genome assembly